This 507-nucleotide ribosomal RNA is filed under the name uncultured bacterium. RNAcentral's name for it is "bacterial SSU rRNA". It matches the Rfam family "Bacterial small subunit ribosomal RNA", at positions 34 to 507 of the family's 1533-position model. The record is from RNAcentral.
CGCUGGCGGCGUGCUUAACACAUGCAAGUCGAACGAAAAGAGGGAAAGAGCUUGCUCUUUCCGGAAUUGAGUGGCAAACGGGUGAGUAACACGUAAACAACCUGCCUUCAGGAUGGGGACAACAGACGGAAACGACUGCUAAUACCGAAUAAGUUCCAAGAGCCGCAUGGCCCAUGGAAGAAAAGGUGGCCUCUACCUGUAAGCUAUCGCCUGAAGAGGGGUUUGCGUCUGAUUAGCUGGUUGGAGGGGUAACGGCCCACCAAGGCGACGAUCAGUAGCCGGUCUGAGAGGAUGAACGGCCACACUGGAACUGAGACACGGUCCAGACUCCUACGGGAGGCAGCAGUGGGGAAUCUUCCGCAAUGGGCGAAAGCCUGACGGAGCAACGCCGCGUGAGUGAUGACGGCCUUCGGGUUGUAAAACUCUGUGAUCCGGGACGAAAAGGCAGAGUGCGAAGAACAAACUGCAUUGACGGUACCGGAAAAGCAAGCCACGGCUAACUACGUG